GGCUCAGGACGAACGCUGGCGGCGUGCUUAACACAUGCAAGUCGAACGAUGAACCACUUCGGUGGGGAUUAGUGGCGAACGGGUGAGUAACACGUGGGCAAUCUGCCCUUCACUCUGGGACAAGCCCUGGAAACGGGGUCUAAUACCGGAUACCACCAUCACGGGCAUCUGUGGUGGUUGAAAGCUCCGGCGGUGAAGGAUGAGCCCGCGGCCUAUCAGCUUGUUGGUGAGGUAAUGGCUCACCAAGGCGACGACGGGUAGCCGGCCUGAGAGGGCGACCGGCCACACUGGGACUGAGACACGGCCCAGACUCCUACGGGAGGCAGCAGUGGGGAAUAUUGCACAAUGGGCGAAAGCCUGAUGCAGCGACGCCGCGUGAGGGAUGACGGCCUUCGGGUUGUAAACCUCU
This 409-nucleotide ribosomal RNA is filed under the name Streptomyces lincolnensis. RNAcentral's name for it is "bacterial SSU rRNA". It matches the Rfam family "Bacterial small subunit ribosomal RNA", at positions 21 to 434 of the family's 1533-position model. The record is from RNAcentral. Lineage: Bacteria; Bacillati; Actinomycetota; Actinomycetes; Kitasatosporales; Streptomycetaceae.